Molecule: long non-coding RNA, 839 nt
Filed under: Gallus gallus (chicken)
Lineage: Eukaryota; Metazoa; Chordata; Aves; Galliformes; Phasianidae
Source: RNAcentral
GUGGAUUUGUGCAUUUGAGCCCAGGUCUGCAUCAGUGGCAUGGAGCUGAGAAACAGAGGUGCCCACUGGAGCAUUUUCUGGAAUACUAACUUCAAUGUCAUUCUCUUUAAAGACUGGGCGAUUAUCAUUCACAUCAGUCACUGUGACUUGCAGGAUUGCAGUGCUAGAUCUUGGAGGACUUCCACCAUCUUCAACUUUAAUUUUCAUCACAUAGGUAUCCUUCUGCUCUCUAUCCAAGUUCUGCUGGACGAUCAGUUGAGGCCACUUAUCUCCCUCAGGUGUCUCAAUUAUAUCAAGACCAAAUACAUUCUGACCCUGAUCAUUCGUAAUUGAUCCAAAUGUCCUUUUCGGAGCUGUUUUGGGCUUAAGGAGUUCAUAAUGUUGAAUACCAUUCACACCAAUGUCUGGAUCAAUGGCAGAUGGAACAGAAUAGCGAGAAUUAAUCGCUGUGUUUUCAGGGAUAGAGAUGUUAAUAACUGUAGAGGGGAAGAGGGGGGCAUUGUCAUUUAUAUCCUCUAUUAGGAAUCUGAUCUUGACCAGUCUGAAAACUUCAUCAGGCAAAACGGCAACCUCCACCUCAUAAAAGCAGCGAUUCUCACUAAAGAUGCCAGAGCACAGCUUCUCUCGGUCUAUGCGGUUUGCAGUUGUAAAUAUCUCACCAGUGUUCUCCUCCACUCGUACUAGUGGUACAUCCCCAGUCUUAUAUACAAGCUUGAACUGUAGUGGCGAGGAAAGGGGGACAUCUGGAUCCAGCGUUAAAUUAAGAUCCUUGAGCAAAUUGCCAAUGAGGACAUUUUCAGGCAGUUCUUCCCGCACUGUAUAGUUCUUCUCCUGUGCUC